GAUGAACGCUGGCGGUGUGUCUAAGGCAUGCAAGUCGAGCGAGACGGUCUGCUGUAGCAAUACAAUGGAUCGUCUAGCGGCAAACGGGUGAGUAACACAUUGGUAACCUGCCUCCGAGACGGGCACAACACUGCGAAAGCGGUGCUAAUUCCCGAUGGCCUCUUCGGUGAGAAUCCGAAAGAGUAAACGCCCAAAAGGCGCUCGGAGAGGGGCCUAUGGCCAUCAGCUAGUUGGUGCGGUAAUGGCGCACCAAGGCGACGACGGGUAGCAGGCGUGAGAGCGCGACCUGCCUCAGUGGGACUGCGACACUGCCCANACUCCUACGGGAGGCUGCAGUCGAGAAUAUUCCACAAUGGGGAAACCCUGAUGGAGCGACACGCGUGGGGAUGAAGCCU
RNAcentral lists this ribosomal RNA (395 nucleotides) under uncultured bacterium. RNAcentral's name for it is "bacterial SSU rRNA". It matches the Rfam family "Bacterial small subunit ribosomal RNA", at positions 28 to 416 of the family's 1533-position model. The record is from RNAcentral.